ACUUCGGAAGCUCCCUCGAAUGGGAACCCAGAGCGGGUGCGAGGCCCGUAACGAGGUCGCGCCGAUCGGUUAGCGCCUCCGUAGAGUCGGGUUACUUGAGAGUGUAGCCCAAAGCGGAAGGUAAACCCCUUCUAAGACUAAAUACGACCGUGAGACCGAUAGCGAACAAGUACCGCGAGGGAAAGUUGAAAAGAACUUUGAAGAGAGAGUUCAAAAGGGCGUGAAACCGCUUAGAAGAAAACGGACGGAACCGUCUGAGGCCCUCGGGAAUCAGUGGAACGACGCGCGAACGCGUUCAGGGUUUUCGGAGCGUAAAAGUCCGUCUCUGAGCGUCUAGUAGUCGUGUUCGUUUGGCGCAUUUCUCGAGGGUUAGCGUCGCGACCGAUGCGAAAGGCCGGCGAGGCCGCCAGGUUGAGGUCGGAAACCCCUCGCGGGUAUUCGCUACCAGCUUGACGGUAACUAAUCGCUGGACCGUAGUAGGCAUCGAGCGUCAAGAUUAAUGUCGGCGUAAUCGGCGCUCAUCGAUCAGCGGAGAGUUGUCCUAUUUGUCGACGCCUGCUCGCAGGCGAUCGAUUAAUUCUUGGGCGAUUUCAAAGUUGACGAUGACGUACCGGCAUUUUGGCGUCGGCGACGUCCGAGUCGGUCACCCGUCCGACCCGUCUUGAAACACGGACCAAGGAGUCUAACGUACGCGCGAGCUAAUGAGUGGAAAACUCAUAAGCGCAAUAAAAGUAAAUGCCGUCGUUAGAUGGUUGAGGUACGAUCCAGGGUUUCAYCACCUUGGCGCAGUACCGUCCCGUUCCAAUCGCACGUCGGUAGGGCGGAGAUAGAGUGCAUACGUUGGGACCCGAAAGAUGGUGAACUAUGCCUGAGCAGAGCGAAGCCAGAGGAAACUCUGGUGGAGGUUCGUAGCGGUUCUGACGUGCAAAUCGAUCGUCAGACUUGGGUAUAGGGGCGAAAGACUAAUCGAACCAUCUAGUAGCUGGUUCCCCCUGAAGUUUCCCUCAGGAUAGCUGAUACUCGAGGAGAGACGAAGUUUUAUCCGGUAAAGCGAAUGAUUAGAGGAAUUGGGGACGAAAUGACCUCAACCUAUUCUCAAACUUUAAAUGGGUAAGAAGUCGAGCUUGCUCGAUCGAAGCCCGGCCAAGAAUUCGAGUAUCAAGUGGGCCAUUUUUGGUAAGCAGAACUGGCGCUGCGGGAUGAACCGAACGGCGAGGUAAGGCGCCGGAAUGAACGCUCAUAAGAGCCCAGGAAAGGUGUUAGUUGAUAUAGACAGCAGGACGGUGGCCAUGGAAGUCGGAAACCGCUAAGGAGUGUGUAACAACUCACCUGCCGAAUCAACUAGCCCUGAAAAUGGAUGGCGCUCGAGCGUUUUGCCCAUACUCGCCCGCUGUUGACAGAGUAUACAC
This 1409-nucleotide ribosomal RNA is filed under the name Xiphinema persicum. RNAcentral's name for it is "Xiphinema sp. 1 MM-2020 partial large subunit ribosomal RNA". It matches the Rfam family "Eukaryotic large subunit ribosomal RNA", at positions 176 to 1374 of the family's 3401-position model. The record is from RNAcentral. Lineage: Eukaryota; Metazoa; Nematoda; Enoplea; Dorylaimida; Longidoridae.